UCACUACUUGCGUAGGCAGUCUUCUUAAAGUGCUCAGCUUAACCUGGUAGCAACUAAGGGCAAGGGUUGCGCUCGUUGCGGGACUUAACCCAACAUCUCACGACACGAGCUGACGACAGCCAUGCAGCACCUCGAUAACCGCCUCCGAAGAGGACCCCCUGUUUCCAGGAGUUGCAGUUACCGUUCGAGCCCCGGUAAGGUUCUUCGCGUUGCGUCGAAUUGAACCACAUGCUCCACCGCUUGUGCGGGCCCCCGUCAAUUCCUUUGAGUUUCAGUCUUGCGACCGUACUCCCCAGGCGGGGCACUUAACGUGUUAACUCCGGCACCGAGGGACUCAAUACCCCCGACACCAAGUGCCCAUCGUUUACGGCUAGGACUAC
Molecule: unclassified non-coding RNA, 380 nt
Filed under: uncultured Acidobacteriota bacterium
Lineage: Bacteria; Pseudomonadati; Acidobacteriota
Description: uncultured Acidobacteria bacterium contains 16S-23S intergenic spacer region
Source: RNAcentral